CCUACGGGGCGCACCAGUGGGGAAUAUUGGACAAUGGGUGGAAGCCUGAUCCAGCAAUGCCGCGUGUGUGAAGAAGGUCUUCGGAUCGUAAAGCACUUUCGACGGGGACGAUGAUGACGGUACCCGUAGAAGAAGCCCCGGCUAACCUCGUGCCAGCAGCCGCGGUAAUACGAAGGGGGCUAGCGUUGCUCGGAAUGACUGGGCGUAGAGGGCGCGUAGGCGGUUUAUGCAGUCAGAUGUGAAAUCCCCGGGCUUAACCUGGGAACUGCAUUUGAGACGCAUAGACUAGAGGUCGAGAGAGGGUUGUGGAAUUCCCAGUGUAGAGGUGAAAUUCGUAGAUAUUGGGAAGAACACCGGUGGCGAAGGCGGCAACCUGGCUCGAUACUGACGCUGAGGCGCGAAAGCGUGGGGAGCAAACAGGAUUAGAUACCCGUGUAGUC
Molecule: ribosomal RNA, 440 nt
Filed under: uncultured bacterium
Lineage: Bacteria
Description: bacterial SSU rRNA
Rfam family: Bacterial small subunit ribosomal RNA
Source: RNAcentral